RNAcentral lists this ribosomal RNA (425 nucleotides) under uncultured Acidobacterium sp. RNAcentral describes it as "bacterial SSU rRNA". It matches the Rfam family "Bacterial small subunit ribosomal RNA", at positions 959 to 1385 of the family's 1533-position model. The record is from RNAcentral. Lineage: Bacteria; Pseudomonadati; Acidobacteriota; Terriglobia; Terriglobales; Acidobacteriaceae.
ACGCGAAGAACCUUACCCAGGCUUGAACAGCGAGUGACCAUCGACGAAAGUUGACUUCCGCAAGGACACUCGUAGAGGUGCUGCAUGGCUGUCGUCAGCUCGUGUCGUGAGAUGUUGGGUUAAGUCCCGCAACGAGCGCAACCCUUGUUUGCUGUUGCCAUCAGGUAAUGCUGGGCACUCUGCAAAGACUGCCGGUGAUAAACCGGAGGAAGGUGGGGAUGACGUCAAGUCAGCAUGGCCUUUAUGUCUGGGGCUACACACGUGCUACAAUGGCCGAUACAAACCGUCGCGAGCCCGCAAGGGGGAGCUAAUCGGAGAAAAUCGGUCUCAGUUCGGAUAGCAGGCUGCAACUCGCCUGCUUGAAGUUGGAAUCGCUAGUAAUCGCGGAUCAGCACGCCGCGGUGAAUACGUUCCCGGGCCUUGUA